Molecule: ribosomal RNA, 383 nt
Filed under: uncultured bacterium
Lineage: Bacteria
Description: bacterial SSU rRNA
Rfam family: Bacterial small subunit ribosomal RNA
Source: RNAcentral
GACCCAUCUUUCAGUGAGGAAUACCGGCGAGAAAUCGCCGACAAUACCGCAUGAGCUCUUCUUUGUGAGAGGAGGAGAGCAAAGUCGCAAGACGCUGGAAGCUGGGCCCGUGGCCGAUUAGCUAGUUGGUGGGGUAAGAGCCUACCAAGGCGACGAUCGGUAGCUGGUCUGAGAGGACGAUCAGCCACACUGGGAUUGAGAACGGCCCAGACUCCUACGGGGGGCAGCAGUGAGGAAUUUUCGGCAAUGGGGGCAACCCUGACCGAGCAACGCCGCGUGCAGGACGAAGGUUUUCGGAUCGUAAACUGCUUUUCUUGGGGACGAGAGUGGACGGUACCCAAGGAAUCAGCCCCGGCUAACUACGUGCCAGCAGCCGCGGUAAU